This is a long non-coding RNA of Symphalangus syndactylus (siamang), 890 nucleotides long. RefSeq lists it as uncharacterized. The record is from RefSeq and is a predicted model, not a curated record. Lineage: Eukaryota; Metazoa; Chordata; Mammalia; Primates; Hylobatidae.
CAUUUGUACAGCACAGAAUUUCAGGACACAGGGCCAUCUAAGAAGAGCGUAUCAACCUGGAAUCCCUACCUGCUGUCUCUAACCCUCCUGAGGAAAUCGGAAGUUCUGAAGAUCAUUUGAAAAAGGACUUGAAGAAAAUGGCAGAGAGAGCAUUCAAUCUCCUAAAUGAUGACAGCAGAAUGCUUUGGGAAGAGGUCGUGAGCGGCGUGGAGGAGGAAGUCGAUCUGAAAUGCUUGAGGAGGUGGAGAAGAAAAGCCAGAGAGAGCGGAGAGACCUUGGGAAGAGAGGGCUGGAGAGGCCAGACGUGAGAAUCCAGCGCCCCGCUGCCACCUCGGCCACACGGAGGCAUUUCGCGGAGCCUCGGUUCCCUCAUUAGAAAAACCGAGGGGUGGAACUGCUUCGUUUUUGAAGUUCCUUCCAGCUCUAAAAUGUCUUAGUUGUAUGCAAGCCAAAAUAAACAAAAAAUGGUAUCACUUUAUGCAUAUGCUCUUCUAAAUAUCCCAGUGGGAAAGCACGAAGCCUGUGUUUCCAGCUCGCUGCUUCAGAGAUGCCAGUUCACAACUCGUUUUUUAAUCUCGGGGACAUUAUCCGAAUUCCUGAUGAAAGUGAGUCGUAGUUGUGUAGGGGCCAGGGUGUGUAUGUGUGAGAAGACAGAGAAAGAGCAGGAGAGCGAGAGAAAGAGAGAGAGAGAGAGGAACAGACAAGAGUAGGUCCUCCUCAAUAUUUGGACUAUGGUCUCUGACUACAAGAGAGCACCGCUAGCAACACUAUUUCAUUCAUGAUCUGGUUCACUUGGUAAUUUUCAAGCCUCUACAAUAUAUUAGGUAUAAACAUUUCCAAAACAUUGCCUAUCCCAAUUUCUUUUAACAAGGACAGAAGAAUUAUCUGCA